RNAcentral lists this transfer RNA (74 nucleotides) under Patescibacteria group bacterium. Its description in RNAcentral is "tRNA-Glu". It matches the Rfam family "tRNA". From Rfam's summary of the family: Transfer RNA (tRNA) molecules are approximately 80 nucleotides in length. The record is from RNAcentral.
GGCGCAUUCGUCUAGUGGCCUAGGACGCCAGGUUCUCAUCCUGGAGAUCAGGGGUUCGACUCCCCUAUGCGCUA